GGCACUGUACAACCAUGGUAGAAUAUAUUUUGGAACCCUUUAGCAAAAGAUCUUGUUAACAAUCCUAAACUUAAUAUAAACAUUUUGUGCAACAUUUCUAGCAAAGUAAAAGUCAACUUGUAUGUCUUCAAAACCCGCUUCUUGAUUUGUAAACUUUAGCCUCCAAAACCUGUAAGAAUAUUCAAAAAAAUUUCCUUUAAUAAUAUUGUAAAUAUCACUAGAAAAUUAUAUUAAAUAAUUAAGUUUUUCAAUUUUACUCGAAUAAUAAUUUGACCUCUUACCCGAAAAAGUGUCCAAAUUCACCGUGUAAUAUAUAUCCACUUCAAAAAU
Molecule: long non-coding RNA, 330 nt
Filed under: Nicotiana tabacum (common tobacco)
Lineage: Eukaryota; Viridiplantae; Streptophyta; Magnoliopsida; Solanales; Solanaceae
Description: long non-coding RNA (NTAB_LNC012759)
Source: RNAcentral